Molecule: transfer-messenger RNA, 361 nt
Filed under: Desulfovibrio sp. OttesenSCG-928-C14
Lineage: Bacteria; Pseudomonadati; Thermodesulfobacteriota; Desulfovibrionia; Desulfovibrionales; Desulfovibrionaceae
Rfam family: transfer-messenger RNA
About the family: Bacterial tmRNA, also known as 10Sa RNA or SsrA, is named for its dual tRNA and mRNA-like properties. Its role is to liberate the mRNA from a stalled ribosome. To accomplish this part of the tmRNA is used as a reading frame that ends in a translation stop signal.
Source: RNAcentral
GGGGGCGCACUGGUUUCGACGGGGACGUAUGAAGCCGUGACUGCGGGCCGAGGCGCCGCUGGCCUCGUAAAAAGCGGCACAAAAGUAAUUGGCAACGAUUACGAAUACGCUUACGCUGCUUAAUUAAGCAGUGCCAAGCCGACGGCCGACGCCUGAUAAGCCGCCGUCUUGGUCAACUUUAUCAGGCUUUGCGCUGGAUGGCGUCUUCCGCAAACAGCGCGAGAACAAACAGGAAGGCUGGCAGCGGACUGCCCUGACCCGGGGCGACCCCCGCUGUAAGAAAGAUAUACCAGGUCUACGCCCGUAGACGUUGCGAGUGGAAUGUUCUCGGACGCGGGUUCGAUUCCCGCCGCCUCCACCA